ACAUCCCAGCUCCUCAUGUCCCACAUUCUUCAGGCUUUCUCUUAGUUUUGGCAUGUGCAUGUAAAUGUCAACAGUGCCCAGAUCAGCGCCUGAUGUAUACUUGGCACACAAUAACUACUCUUGAAAUUCAUGAAGGAAUCUGGACAUUUAGGGGGUUCCUCAGAAUCCGCCGCUUUUAGGGAAGAUUCUCUGCCUGAUGUGUGAGCACUCUAACCUCUUCAUCUGUGUUCAGUCCCCUUGCAAUGCUUCUCUAAGAUCAAUAAAGGCAAAAACCAGGAGAUCCCAUAAAUCCCGCUGAGCCUGUCAUAGCUAUCAAAUUAUACCCAGAUAAAGCUUCUGGUGGCUAAUGACAUGGCCAUCACCCAGCGUGGACGUGGGCAGGAGGGGCUCUCCGGGAGCAUCUGGUCUGCUGUGGAGACACUUGUCAUCUGGAGGCUCUGUGGCUCUAAUGGAGGGUGAUGCUUUGAAUGCGAUUAUCUCCCCCAUAAAAAAAUAAAUAAAUAAUAAGGAUAAUUUAAAAAUAAACAAAGAUCUGGAUUUGCAGGCUA
RNAcentral lists this long non-coding RNA (548 nucleotides) under Pongo abelii (Sumatran orangutan). RNAcentral's name for it is "lincRNA". Lineage: Eukaryota; Metazoa; Chordata; Mammalia; Primates; Hominidae. The record is from RNAcentral.